Molecule: non-coding RNA, 486 nt
Organism: Lactuca sativa (garden lettuce)
Lineage: Eukaryota; Viridiplantae; Streptophyta; Magnoliopsida; Asterales; Asteraceae
Source: RefSeq, a predicted model, not a curated record
GGUUCUAAUGUCGUCUUUCCAGUAGAAGUUGAGAGAAUCAGGGGCAAUUAUACUCGGGAAAGCAAGCUUGAGUGAGUGGGCUUUUUUCCGAAGCUCCACUGCACCCAGUGGUUGGAAUGCCAGAACUAAACAAGCAAUUAAUCCAUAUGUAGCAACCCACGAUCCAUGUGGUUCAAGCACUGGAUCAGCUAUAGCAGUUGCAACAAGCAUGGUAACCGUAUCACUGGGUACAGAAACAGAUGGGUCAAUCCUAUGUCCUUCAUGUGCUAACUCAGUUGUUGGGAUUUAAUGAUUUUACUAACAGUUUUUGUCCCUCUUGACAGACCAAUAUGUAGGACUGUAACUGAUGUUGUUUAUGUCCUUGAUGCCAUUGUGGGUUUUGAUAAAAAUGAUGAAGUUGCAACAAGAAAAGCUUCAAAGUAUAUCCCCCAUGGUGGUUAUUGAAGCACCUAAAAUCUGGUGGUCUUAAAGGAAAGACGUUAGGGA